CAUGCAGGGGUGGGGUCCCUUGGCCUGGCCUGCACCCUCUCGUAAUCCAGGACCCCUCGGGGGAUGUCAGAGAACCGGUUUCAGCCCGAUCCCUGCAGGCCAGGCCGAGGGACCCCACUGGUGCACA
RNAcentral lists this microRNA precursor (127 nucleotides) under Myotis brandtii (Brandt's bat). Its description in RNAcentral is "mir-9193 microRNA precursor family". It matches the Rfam family "mir-9193 microRNA precursor family". The record is from Rfam by way of RNAcentral. Lineage: Eukaryota; Metazoa; Chordata; Mammalia; Chiroptera; Vespertilionidae.